UUUCCGUAGGUGAACCUGCGGAAGGAUCAUUACUGAGUGAGGGCCCCUCGGGGUCCAACCUCCCACCCGUGUUUAACGAACCUUGUUGCUUCGGCGGGCCCGCCUCACGGCCGCCGGGGGGCACCUGCCCCCGGGCCCGCGCCCGCCGAAGCCACCUGUGAACGCUGUCUGAAGUAUGCAGUCUGAGACAAUUAUUAAAUUAAUUAAAACUUUCAACAACGGAUCUCUUGGUUCCG
RNAcentral lists this unclassified non-coding RNA (236 nucleotides) under plant metagenome. RNAcentral describes it as "partial contains small subunit ribosomal RNA, internal transcribed spacer 1, and 5.8S ribosomal RNA". The record is from RNAcentral.